Molecule: ribosomal RNA, 253 nt
Filed under: uncultured bacterium
Lineage: Bacteria
Description: partial 16S ribosomal RNA
Rfam family: Bacterial small subunit ribosomal RNA
Source: RNAcentral
UACGGAGGAUCCAAGCGUUAUCCGGAUUUAUUGGGUUUAAAGGGUGCGUAGGCGGAAUUGUAAGUCAGUGGUGAAAUCCUACAGCUUAACUGUAGAACGGCCAUUGAUACUGCAGAUCUUGAGUAUAUUUGAAGUGGGCGGAAUGUGUCAUGUAGCGGUGAAAUGCUUAGAUAUGACACAGAACACCGAUUGCGAAGGCAGCUCACUAAACUAUAACUGACGCUGAGGCACGAAAGCGUGGGGAGCAAACGGG